This 441-nucleotide ribosomal RNA is filed under the name uncultured bacterium. Its description in RNAcentral is "bacterial SSU rRNA". It matches the Rfam family "Bacterial small subunit ribosomal RNA", at positions 958 to 1398 of the family's 1533-position model. The record is from RNAcentral.
AACGCGAAGAACCUUACCUGGGCUUGACAUGCUGGUGAAAGCCGGUGGAAACAUCGGCCCCUCUUCGGAGCGCCAGCACAGGUGCUGCAUGGCUGUCGUCAGCUCGUGCCGUGAGGUGUUGGGUUAAGUCCCGCAACGAGCGCAACCCUUAUCACUAGUUGCCAGCACUUAGGGUGGGAACUCUAGUGAGACUGCCUGGGUUAACCAGGAGGAAGGUGAGGAUGACGUCAAGUCAGCAUGGCCCUUAUGUCUGGGGCAACACACGUGCUACAAUGGCCGGUACAGAAGGCAGCAAGACCGCAAGGUGGAGCAAAUCCCAAAAGCCGGCCCCAGUUCGGAUUGUAGUCUGCAACUCGACUACAUGAAGUUGGAAUUGCUAGUAAUGGCGCGUCAGCUACAGCGCCGUGAAUACGUUCCCGGGCCUUGUACACACCGAGUAUA